This 256-nucleotide ribosomal RNA is filed under the name uncultured bacterium. RNAcentral describes it as "partial 16S ribosomal RNA". It matches the Rfam family "Bacterial small subunit ribosomal RNA", at positions 96 to 353 of the family's 1533-position model. The record is from RNAcentral.
UGGCGGACGGGUGAGUAAUGUCUGGGAAACUACCUGAUGGAGGGGGAUAACUACUGGAAACGGUAGCUAAUACCGCAUAACGUCGCAAGACCAAAGAGGGGGACCCUCGGGCCUCUUGCCAUCGGAUGUGCCCAGAUGGGAUUAGCUUGUUGGUGGGGUAACGGCUCACCAAGGCGACGAUCCCUAGCUGGUCUGAGAGGAUGACCAGCCACACUGGAACUGAGACACGGUCCAGACUCCUACGGGAGGCAGCAUG